Molecule: ribosomal RNA, 673 nt
Filed under: uncultured bacterium
Lineage: Bacteria
Description: bacterial SSU rRNA
Rfam family: Bacterial small subunit ribosomal RNA
Source: RNAcentral
ACAUGCAGCCGAGCGGUAUUGUUUCUUCGGAAUGAGAGAGCGGCGUACGGGUGCGGAACACGUGUGCAACCUGCCUUUAUCUGGGGGAUAGCCUUUCGAAAGGAAGAUUAAUACUCCAUAAUAUAUUGAACGGCAUCGUUUAAUAUUGAAAGCUCCGGCGGAUAGAGAUGGGCACGCGCAAGAUUAGCUAGUUGGUGAGGUAACGGCUCACCAAGGCGAUGAUCUUUAGGGGGCCUGAGAGGGUGAUCCCCCACACUGGUACUGAGACACGGACCAGACUCCUACGGGAGGCAGCAGUGAGGAAUAUUGGUCAAUGGGUGCAAGCCUGAACCAGCCAUCCCGCGUGAAGGACGACUGCCCUAUGGGUUGUAAACUUCUUUUGUAUAGGGAUAAACCUACCCUCGUGAGGGUAGCUGAAGGUACUAUACGAAUAAGCACCGGCUAACUCCGUGCCAGCAGCCGCGGUAAUACGGAGGGUGCAAGCGUUAUCCGGAUUUAUUGGGUUUAAAGGGUCCGUAGGCGGACUUAUAAGUCAGUGGUGAAAGCCUGUCGCUUAACGAUAGAACUGCCAUUGAUACUGUAAGUCUUGAGUAUAUUUGAGGUAGCUGGAAUAAGUAGUGUAGCGGUGAAAUGCAUAGACAUUACUUAGAACACCAAUUGCGAAGGCAGGUUA